Molecule: ribosomal RNA, 446 nt
Filed under: uncultured bacterium
Lineage: Bacteria
Description: partial 16S ribosomal RNA
Rfam family: Bacterial small subunit ribosomal RNA
Source: RNAcentral
CCUACGGGCGGCAGCAGUCGAGAAUCAUUCACAAUGGGGGAAACCCUGAUGGUGCGACGCCGCGUGGGUGAAUGAAGGUCUUCGGAUUUUAAGCCCCUGUCAUGUGGGAGCAAAUUAAAAAGAUAGUACCACAAGAGGAAGAGACGGCUAACUCUGUGCGAGCAGCCGCGGUAAUACAGAGGUCUCAAGCGUUGUUCGGAAUCACGGGGCGUAAAGCGUGCGUAGGCUGUUUCGUAAGUCGUGUGUGAAAGGCGCGGGCUCAACCCGCGGACGGCACAUGAUACUGGGAGACUAGAGUAAUGGAGGGGGAACCGGAAUUCUCGGUGUAGCAGUGAAAUGCGUAGAUAUCGAGAGGAACACUCGUGGCGAAGGCGGGUUCCUGGACAUUAACUGACGCUGAGGUACGAAGGCCAGGGGAGCGAAAGGGAUUAGAUACCCCAGUAGUC